This is a long non-coding RNA of Panthera uncia (snow leopard), 10018 nucleotides long. RefSeq lists it as uncharacterized. The record is from RefSeq and is a predicted model, not a curated record. Lineage: Eukaryota; Metazoa; Chordata; Mammalia; Carnivora; Felidae. The transcript is spliced from 4 exons.
CUCCGCUGCUCCCGCCCCCGCGCAGCCCCCCCCUUCCCGGCCCCGGGCCCGUCCGGGCUCCGGCUUCCGAGUUGCGACUCCAGCCCCAGCCCCAGCCUGCGAGGGCGCGUGCGCGCGGCGGCGGCGUGGGCUCGCAAGGCUCUUCCUCCCUCCCUCCCGCGCCGGGCACUUCCGGGCCGGCCCGGAUCCGUCGCCGGGUUUUGGAAGCCACCGCCGUUCCCUGCGCCAGGCGCUGGGCUCUCAGCAGGGCGCGUCCACCGGCCGCUGUGGAGAGGAUGAGUUACCUCGCCUGGCGGGGAUCUCCCACGACCCAGCCUUAAACUUUCCUUACCUAAAAAGCCCACUGAUAACGCCUCUUAAAUCGAGAGACGUAGGGUGCGAAAGGAGGCCAACUGUUUCUCCGUACGAUUUCCUUGAGGUUGUAGCAGACUAGAAAGCCAAUAUGCAACUUUUACUGAACCCUUGUUGCGAGCCCGUAACUAUGUGAAGGGCUAGAACAAAAACAGCAGUGUACGUCUCCAGCUAGAAAUACAGACAACUCCGGGUAGGCAAAUGAAGUGCCACAGUGAAACGGUUUUCGGUUAGAGAAGAUGAGCCUCAAAAGGAAGUCUCAGGCCUAGGAAGGGAGGGGGUCCGCCGAGAGGCAGCCGAGGUUGCUUGCAAAGCACUGAACAGGUGGCAUGACUGACGUGGGUAAAUUAUGCUGUAUCUAAGCAAAUGUCUGAAGAGAUGAGGAGACUGCCUUAUGGAGUUUAAAGAAAGGUGAAAACAGAACGUCAUUCAGCAUUCGUGAGAGAAAACUUGUAGCUGCCAAGAAUAUUCUCCUUUAAAGAAGUUUGAGGGACCAAAACAGGCACGAAUAACAUUGAAGGACCCCCGCCCCCAUUCCUUUCACUUUAACAGCGCAUCAGUGAACUGUUUACCUCCUUUCCCCCAAAAAAAGAGAGGUGGAAGAAAAACAUUAUUUUGAGCACUGUAAUCAAAGACCUGUACGAUCUUUUUAAAUCCUCUCAACUUCAUUGCAGUUCCAAGGUGGAGAUUAUUCCCACCUUACAGAUAAAGCAACUGAGGAUCAGAAGUAAUAAGUAACUCAUUCAAGGGUGAGUGGAGUUUGAAUACUGGGAAAGCAGAUUUCCCUCGCUUCAAAUUAAUACUACUUUAACUACCUUAUUCAACGUAUUUAACACCCAAAACGUGUGGGAUACAACCAGCAUCAAAGAUUUUCAGAAAAAAAGCCUGGCCACUUUUUAGGAAUUGAACACCUGCAGUAGUGUCCUCUCCUUCAUGUACCUCACAGUGUUUCAAUGCAGUUCACUUGCUGCGCCAGGACCCUGAUGAAUGUUUAUGGUUUGAGUGAAUUGGAGCCCACCAGCAUUGCCAAAACACCUGGAAGGGAUGUGCAUGGAAGAGAAGAGUGUUCUAUGUUAUACAUCUAUUUAAGAAUUUUUAUUACUAUUAUGAUCCUUACCUUAUGGAUAAGGAAACUGAGGCACAGAGAGUUUAAGAAACUUGACAAAGCUGCAAAGCUAGUUGGUGGCAAAGCCAGGAUAUGGACCAAGACAGGCUGGAUCCAGAGCAUAUGCUAUUCUACCGUGUUGCAUUUUCACUAAAUUCAAGGUAAAUGUUUGAAAUCUGGGGCAUGGUCAAACUCUUCUUUUCCAGGAGAGUUUUUGUAUGAUCAGAUAAGGUCAUUGUAUUCAUCCAUUUGUUAAAUGUAGCAACAAGAUUAUAAUUUUUUUUUGAACAUGGAUAUGUUCCGAAUAUAGGUAUAAUUUGAGUGCUAGAACUGUCUCAUCCUCUUACUAGCUGUGUGAAUAUGGGUAUACUCAGAUUCAUCACUUGAAACAAAGGAACAUUACCACUUGCUUGACAUGCCUUGCAAAUUAUUGGGAGAAAAAGAGCUGGGAAGUGUGAAUUCAGGACGCAUUAAGAACAUUUGCACCAUGAAAAUGAAGCAAAUUGAAACCAACACCAGCUUCUCACAACCUUUUGCCAUCUCAUUUUCCUGGUUUUGUCCUGUCUAAUUUAGAUCAUAAACCCUCCAGUCAGAAACCAUCACCUCUUUAUACAGAGUACAAUGACUGGUGUCACUAUUUAAUAAAAACACAAGAAGCAGCUGCAAAGGUUUGAAAUUAAAUCUACAAACGUAAGGUGAAAGUUAUAUUGAGUUCCAACUGUAGGUCAUUAUGGCAAAAUUAAGAUAAGGACAUGGAUUUGUUUUCUUAAUUUUCCUAAAACUGGUGUAAUGUAGCAAUUAAGAGAAUGUGGUCCAGAGUCAGGUUUCCUAUGUUACAAUUCUAACUUGGCCGCUUACUAAUUAUAUAAUGUUUUGAACACACUAUAUUUUAUAGAUUCCAUGAAAUACAAUAUUUUACAUUUUCACAUCUCAGAAAUUGAGAUUAUUUAUACAAGGAACAGUAUUUUAUGAUUACCAUUGCCCACAUAGCAGCUAAGAUACAGCUGGCAUUGCCUGAGCAUUUGCACACACACACACACACACACACACACACACACACACACACACAUGCACACACACACGCGCGCACACACACACACACACACACACAUAUUUGGCCAUUGCUGUUCACGUUGUCGUGAGUUUACCUGAGUUAUAGGCAUUGGUGUUAAUGCACAUGCUGAGGUAAUUUGCUAUUUAAACUGUCUUGAGAAAAAUUACACAGUGCAUUUGGCUUUAAGAUAAAAAGUUAUUGUAUAUGCAGAAACAAAGCAGUGGGGCUUAAAUUUGUUAUUUGUGAAGCAACAAUUCAUCACUGGAAGAAUGACUGUUAUGCCAGGUUUUCUUGCAAAGAAAAAAGAAGGGGGCUUUAUGAUAUCCAAGAAAGGAAAAUACCCUCAGGUAGCUGAAACUGUGUUCCUUUUGUUACUGAGGUGCAGCAAAAGGAUUGCUUAUCACACACCAAGUCAUGCAACCAAAAAGCAGGAGAAAUCCCAAAUCCCUUGGUAUAUGGAGAAAAAAAUUGCAAGGCAGCGAGAGGCUGGUGUGACAGAAGAGCACUUUCAACAAGUAUAAAAUAAAAAUCUGAAGUGGCAAGAAAAUAUUAUAUCACAGUUUGGCAGCAUUUCCCCCCUUUUUAUUUGUAUAUUUAAAAAAUCAUAUAAUGUGCUCAUGGCUUCCUUGAAAUGUGAAAUACAGAAUACCUCAUUAGCUGUGUGAGAAUUAAAUGAAAUAACAUAGGUGAAGUGUUAUUGGUGUGCUUGACACAUAGUAAGUGUAUAAUACAUGUUGGCCAUUAUUAUCAUCAUCAAAUUACAAAGGCCUUUCAUUUUCGUAUCUGCUCUCUAAUAGAUUAAUGGGGAUUAGAAACAAUUCAAGUGGGAUAUGUUUCAUUUGAAAAUAAAAUGUGGUUUUGUGAUCUCAGGGAGAGCUGGGGAAAGUUUAAUAGGCAAUAUCAGGUGUUUCACAAGUGGGAGGGAUGAGUGAAGUGAGAACUUUUCACAGUGUGGCCAACAUGGGAUGACUUUUCCUGUCAUGGACUGGAAGUUAUAUGGUACUACCCUAAGAAAUUGCUUCCUGGCAACAUGAUAGAUACAGCUUCAGCCGUAUUUCCUUAACCAACAAAAUCGCAGACAUUUCUAUGUACCACUUUGGUGUUUUAUUCGAAAGUGUAGUGUUAAUUUCAGUGUACCACUUCACACACACACACACAAAAAUUCAUGGCUUUAGAAAUUGUGAUUUUAGCAGCUAUUUGGAGCUGCAAGUACAUUUAAGGAUUUUAUUGAAAAGUUCUCAAGUAAACAAAUGUGGGCCUCGGCUCAGUGAAUUUACACAAUGUUCAAGUACACAGAUGAAUUCAACCUCUGAAUUUUAAUUUUCAUCUAACUUGAGCUGUUGCAUUCCUCAAAACAUAAAAGGAAGAAUUUAUAAAGUCAUGAGUGACGCUAAUUGGGAUGUGAUUUUUUUUCAGAAUCCAUUUCCUGGUUAGAAAGUCAACAUUUUGAGAUACUUUCCCAAAAUAUCUUUCAGAUUGUGUUCACGAGUCUCUAUUAAAAGUUAAUUCUUUUUUUCUUUAACAAAUUAACUUUUGAAGUCUGAAAUAUCUACUUGAAUAUAUUUGAUUUUUAUUUAUCAAGAUAACUAAAGUAAAGGCAUGUCAUACACCACUCCUCUUUCGCUCACUACAUUUUUUAAGUUCAUGUUUGUGAAGGACAAGCAAAGCUUGUGUGUAUUUGAUUUUUGUCACUUUUGUUAUUUCAAGAGUACAAAGAUGAUAACACAAGAUAUUUGAGACCUUAGGAUUGAAAAUCUCUCUUAAGGCCAGAGGAAUUAUGGAAAUUUCAGUGCACAAACAAUUCUGGGCUUAUUCAUUUGGCCAAAUUAGUUUGUCUUGUUUUUGCAUUACAAUUUUGAUUGCUGCACUCCAGUGUCUUUUCUGUCCCUGAAAACUAUCUAGAAAUAUUUGGCUAUUAUCAUAAUAAUUGUGUCACGAGACAGUUGUUCUAGUAAUAAAGUUAACCAGUCAUGAUAGAGUGCCUCUGGACAAGUGGACUUGUGUGUGUGUGUGUGUGUGUGUGUGUGUGUGUGUGUGAUUGCAAGUUAACUUGGUGUGUUUACUUAUUAGUCUUAACAAAGUUAUCCUUUUAAAAAGUGGGGAGGAAAGGGGGCGCCUGGGUGGCUCAGUCAGUUAAGGGUCUGACUCUUGAUUUUGGCUCAGGUCAUGAUCUCACGGUUCAUGAGAUCGAGCCCCCAUCAGGCUUGAUCAGCGUGGAGCCUGCUUGGGAUUCUCUCUCCAUCUCUCUGUCCCUCCCAUCUCUCAAAAUAAAUAAAUAAACUAAAAAAAGAAAAAGUGUGGAGGGAAGAAAAAUGCUGUCCUGGGACUUUGUUGACUUAAAUUUGUCCCUCAAUGUCCAAUUAAGGAAUGUCUUUUCAGUAUAAACUACUUAAAAACAAUCUUCCAUUUUUCACAUUUGGCUUCUUUUCCCUUAAAGGUCAGGUAGAUAAACAAGGAAUGGAUAUAACUGCUAAAUGUGGUUCAGUUCUUGACAUUGGUACUGAGGGUCUAUCAAAAUGGAAAAAAAACUUUUUUUUUCUUCAUUUUAUACCUUCUAUUAAUUUUGUUUAAGAAAAAAAAGUUGGGACAAAACUCUAAUCAGUGAUGGUAGAACUUUCUCCAAAAUGUUGUCUUUCAUUUAUUAUUAUCUAAUAUUGUAGCAGGAUUCUUGCACAGAGUCGUGACACCGAGGCUUUUCUUUCCAGGAAGCAACUUUAUUCCUGCAAGCACCACUCAGUUGGGUUCGAACCUGAAGAACUGAGCCCCGAACACCAUUUAGCAUAGUUUUUUUAUAUAUUUUUUACUCUUUGUCUCCCAUAUAUGGUAACACACAAACAUAGUCUGAUUAAGUGGUCUCAUGUUACAAGGUCAGGAGUGAUGUUGUCAAGUAAGCAAAUAGUAAGGUUGCCUUGAGGUGGUUUUUUUUUUUCUUUCUUUCCUUAGGGAGGGGACCCUACCACAUUGUGAAGUAGUUUGACUAGUGCUAGAUAAAUUACACAAUGGAAGAGAAUUUUAAGAAAACAAGUGUUUUAUUGUCUCGUUCUAUUUGAUGGUCUACUCUAUUUUUGGAAGUUCCUUUUAAGCUCUGGGAUUGUAAAACAAUUACCUUUCAAACCACUGAAGUGCAACUUGAAUAUGGUUAACACUUCAUCUGGCUUCCAGGGUGUAAAUUAGCCUUGUCUACAGGCCAUCAGGAAAAUUUAAUAUUCUUUAUUUGUGAAUCAUCAACAUUCUAAAAUUUGACUAAGUAUUAUAAAAGAUAAGCAAUGUAAUAAGAAUUCUUGAAUGCAAUUAGGAAGCAAGGCAUUAUUUCAAUAAUUUUAUUGCAAUGUGCAAUACACUUUUCCCUGAUCCCUGAGUUGAUUAGUUUAUGCAUUAAUUCCUUUUCAGAAGGACCCCUAACAAUGUAAGGAAUCAGUACCCACCCACUUGCUGUCACUUCAAAUGUACACAUAUUUAUAGAAAGUCCAGGGACCCCAAAAUAUUCCUCCAUCAGUCCACAGGUCUUUUGGUGGAAAGGAGAAAGCAGUAGGCAUUAGGAACGGAGGUGUAGUCUCAGAGUCUGCCACAGGAAGGUCCCAUCAAGAUAAUUUUCUAGUGGGGUGCUUUAGCAAUGCACAGACUUGACAUAAGAAUAAAAAUAUGGCUAGCCUCUGUUAACUGAAAUGUAAAAACUUUUUCUUUGUCCUCUUUACCUUUUUCCUCUUUCUCUCUUUCCUCUAUUCUUUCUCUGUUGUCUCUUCCUACUUCUCGUCUCUUUUUCUAUCUUGGUCUUUUACUAUCCCUCCUUCCCCUAUCUUCUUUUUAUGCAUUCUCCCUUUGAAAGCAUAUUUACUCUAUGGCACAUCAAUAUACAUAUCAUUUCAGUUCUCUAUCUCCAGUCUUGAUCUCUUUAACCUACAAUCUGCCAUUCCCACCUGCCUGUUGGACACUUGCAGAUGUCAUUCUUUAAAUACUUGAGAUUCCUCUUGUUGUCUGUUGAACUUAUCUUCCCCUCAUUCCUCAAAACAGCUCUUGAUCUUCUCUUACCUAUUUCAAUAACGUUCUCACCAAUCUUUCAGUUACCUCAGCCUCUCACCUUGAUGUAAACCUUGCAUUUUCUUCCUAUAUCCAAUCAGGCAUGAGUCCUCCUGAUUCUUCUUUUGUUAUAUCCUUAAAUCUUCUUUUUAUUUUUAUUUCUAAUAUCAAGUAGUAGACCCUUUUCAUCAUUCACCUAAAUUGGUCUUCUCUUACUUCUUUUCUCUGGUCCUUACUUACCUAUCCUCCAAGUCAAGAGAGAGCUAUGAAAUCACAAGAUUCCUAACAUAGCACAAGGUUCAUUUCACCUGCUCAUCAAAAGUCUUAGAUGAGAGACAGGAAUAGGCCAGACACUCUGAGAGAUGAAAACAAAAUUGAGUAUGUAUAAUACUAGAUAUCAAUAUGUGUUGUAAAUGAUUUAUACUACAAGAUAUCAAAUGCAAUGCAGACAAUGUGGUACUUAUUCAGAAAAGAUAGACAAAUAGACUUGGUGGGGCACCUGGGUGUCUCAGUCAGUUGGGCGUCUGACUUCAGCUCAGGUCAUGAUCUCGUGGCCCAUAGGUUCAAGCCGCGCAUCAGCUGUGUGCUGAUAGUUCGGAGCCUGGAGCCUUCUUCAGAUUCUGUCUCCCCCCCUCUCUCUGCCCUUCCCCUGCUCACACUCUGUGUCUCUCUCUUUCAAAAAGAAAUAAACAUUAUUUUUUUUUUUAAAAAGAUAGACAAAUAGACUUGGAAUAGAUGAAAAAAUUGCAAAGCAGUAGGUCUGGUAUGACAAAAGAACUCUAAGUACAGACAUAAUAGACAGUCCAGAAAUUGACUCACACUAUGUAGUCCCUUGAUUAAUGAGAAACACAAUGCUGCAGUGUAGUUGGGAAGGAUAGCCUUUUCAAUAAGUGGUGCUGGAUCAAUCGAAUAUCCAUGUGGGAAAAAAAGGAAAUGUUGACCCCUUUCCCACAUUGUAAAAAAUCAGUUUUAAAUGGGGCAUAGAGCUGAAUGUGGAAGAUAAAAGAACCAAAGGGACACAUAUGAAAAAUUAAAUAAAAAGAAAAUUACUAAUAAACCAGAUUGUGUUAAAAUUAAGAAACAUAAAGAAGUAAAAAUGCACACCACAGAGUGGAAGAUGUUUGCAAUACAUCUAUCUGACAAUGGAGUAGUAUAGCAUAUUUGACAAAAUCCUACAAAAUAAUAAUAAUAAAAAAAGUAACCUAGUAGAAAAAUGGGCAAAAAACUUUAACAGGUAAUAAAAGAGCAUUUGUAAAUGGCCAAUAUACACGUGAAGAAAUGCUACAUUUUAUUAGAGGCUAAGGAACUGCAAACUAAAACCUCCAUGAAAUAUCACUACACACCAACCAGGAUGGCAAAACUCAAACAGUACCAGUACUGAGAGAUAUAUGGAACAGGUAUAACUUUUAUAAUUCUUGACAGAAAUGCAGACUUUAUAUAAUUGCUUUGAAAGACUGUUUGGUAGUUAUCAACUAAAGCUGAGUAUGGGCUUUGGUUGACCCAGCAAUUCCACUUGUAGAUAAAUAAAUACCCAAGAGAAAUGAGUAAAUAAGUGCAUUAAAGCAUAUUCAUAGCAGCACUAUUCAUAACAGUCUCAAAUUGGAAAGCUACCUCAAUGUCCAUCAAUAGUAGAAUAAUAAAUACAUUUUAUUAUGCUUGUUAAUAAAUGCACAUUCUACCAACAUUUUGGAAACCAGUGGCUUCCAUAAUACUCUUUCUUUGUACUUACUUUGCAUCUCCCUAAACUUCUCUGGAUGGUGGGUCCAGCAGAAUUCCAUGCUCUUGGGGCAUCCCCAACAUUAUAUGUAAAUAGGGCAGUAAGAAACAGUAAAGGCAGGGGCACCUGGGUUGCUCAGUCAGUUAAGCGUCUGACUUCGGCUCAGGUCAUGAUCUCAUGGUUCAUGUUUUCAAGCCCCGUGUCAGGCUCUGUGCUGACAGCUCAGAGCCUGCUUCAGACUCUGUUUCUCCCUCUCUCUCUGUCCCUCCCUGGCUUGCACUCUGUCUGUAUUAAAAAUGAAUAAACAUUAAAAAAAUUAAGAAAAAAAAGAAACAGUAAAGACAUUUUGUCAAGUUCCUUUGUUUACACACAUGAUCCAUUGUACCAGCAGACUUACCUUACAAAACACAAAUUCAAAGAUCAAAUCAUUAAGAUUUUCAAUAGCAGGGCAAUAAACUAAGCAUGGGCCCUUCUGAGUGAGGGGCAUUCCCAUGAACCCAGCCAUUCAUGUUAAUCAUCCUUCAAUAAAGGGUUUAUUAAAAGUAAAGUGAACAAAUAAAUAUUUUGUCUGGCUUCUUCACUGUUGAACAAAUAAAGGCAAAAUCCCUUAGGCUAAAACAGGGUUUUUAAAACUUUGGUUUAAACUCUAGCUUGCUCACCUUUCAUUUCCCUCUCUGCACACCAACUAAUUGUCCCUCAAUACUAACCCAUCUCCAAGCCUGAGAUUCAUCUUUCACCUCUUUCUCAACUCCUCACAGCAGGUUUGGUUGCCUCAGUCUCACAAAUGCAUCCACUUUCCAAUAGAGACUGAUCACUCUAAAAUAAGCCCCAUGGUACCCAGGUGCCUAAUCUAAUAAACCAGCCAAAUGCUGCAGAGCAAGAUGAAAGCCAAGGCCAAACACCCUAGGGCUCAGGGUGUGGGGAGCUUGCAUUCACCAUCCCUCCAUGAUUCCCUAUAGUCAUUCUCCAAAUAGUAGUCACUAUACCCUUUAUAAAAUGUCAAUGACUCCUGCUCAAUUUUGACAGCGACUUCCCACUCCAUGGAGACUGAAAUCCAGAUUUUUUACUCUGAACCAGGAGGUUCUGCCCACAUACCUGUCCAUCCUCAUCUCUUUCUUCUAUUCACUUACUUCACCCCAGCCUCCCUGACCCUCUUAGGACUGAUUCAUGGCUUAUAAAUUUGCCUAAUUUCUCCUGAUAGAAUGCACAUCUUUGCAUGGCUAUUAACCUUCCUGUUAGGAUACAGAUCAGCAGUCCCCUCCUUGAAGAAGACUUUGCCUACCACAAAAUAUAAAGUAGCUCUCUGUCACCAAUUCUGGUCAUUGUUAACAUAGUACCAAAUUUUUCCCUCCUAGAACUUACCUCCACCUGCAGUGAUUUGAUUGAUAAUUUGUUUACGUAUUUAAUGUUUAUGUCCUCUUUCUAGAGUAUAAGCUCUAGGCUGUCCUGCUCAUGGACAAGAACAAAAUUUGGCACAUGCACGUGCUUAAAAAUACUACAUCUCAUAACUUGCUUUUGGAAGGGCGAUUGAAAGCUCUCCUCAUUCUCUUGGUUAGUCUUGGCUUUAUUAUUAUUGUUAUUAUUAUUAUUUUCCCAUUGAUACUUCUCAGCCAAGUUUUUGUUUUGGUGAUGGGGGAUGGAUAGUAAGAGGCAUAUGAGACAGGGAACUAGAGCUUAUGGUUGGGGUUGGAGAGUGGGAAAAUGGAGAGGAGAUAUGUAUGUUCUGGAGAGAAUUUUUUUUUUUCUUUUUUUGGGGGAAAGACAAAAACUUAUU